GAAAAUAACAGCAAGUAAGGUGCCUCUUUUAAGGAGGCUUAAAAGGGAAGUACGGUGAAAAGCCGUCACGGUACCCGCCACUGUGAUGGGGAGUUUCAUUGCAACGAUGUCACUGAAGGACACUUCGGGAAGACGCAAUGAAGCGAUGAUCCUAAGUCAGGAGACCUGCCUUAUUUGCUCGGCCGGC
Molecule: non-coding RNA, 187 nt
Filed under: Anoxybacteroides amylolyticum
Lineage: Bacteria; Bacillati; Bacillota; Bacilli; Caryophanales; Anoxybacillaceae
Source: RNAcentral